This 574-nucleotide long non-coding RNA is filed under the name Olea europaea (common olive). Its description in RNAcentral is "long non-coding RNA (OEUR_LNC011736)". The record is from RNAcentral. Lineage: Eukaryota; Viridiplantae; Streptophyta; Magnoliopsida; Lamiales; Oleaceae.
CAAUCUCGCAAUCAGUUACUAGUUACUGUGUCAAACCAAAACCUCCACAAAAUUGGAAAGUCAUGGUUCCUACAAUCUCGCAAUCGUCAUUUCUAGGUGGAAAGUCAUGAAUAUUGAAACGGAACAAUACUUUCCUCUAGCCGACGACAGAUUUAUUUUUUCGAGAAAAUUGUAAAUCAAGGUGGUCACAAUUAUGAGGAUUCAAGGAUAUUCAUUCUUCCAUCAUUCCGAUCAACGAAGGUGUUCUAUUGGCUGUCUAAAAUCAAAUCAGUAUGUGAUUAAUCGUGUCCUAUAAUCUGCAUUAUGUCGGCUGUAUACAAAAAAUUGCAUUGGAGAUGACGAAUAUUGUUGUUCAUAGUGUCGUAUGUCUAUUAAAAUUGCAUCGCAGACAGCGAUUAUUUGCAUUAUUUGUUCGUAUUUAUUAGAUUUUGGUCACAAUUAUGUAUUAUAUAUCUAUAAAUCAUGAAAUUCUCCAUACGAAAUGUGAGUUUGUGACCAGAAUAUUUUUUUGUGACGUUAAUUCAUGUCUAUAGCACAAAAUAUGUGUGGAUAUGUGAACCAAAUUUCUGCUCGU